ACUUCCCCAAAAAGUUUCAAAAUCGACAAUCACCUAAAUUUCUGCCUAAACGGCAACAAUUUGGGCGAACUAUUGCAGAUCACCAUCAUAAACUGAAUGAUUAUAGUAAAUAUAUAUCAGACUCAAAGUCUCGGAAUAUAGACGAGGAUGAACAGCCAUGUUCUUCAUGUGGUGGCAAGAAUAAGAAACCUCCCACAAAAACUGACAGCAAUAUAAUGACUAGGAAUAUUAAAUGUAAUUGCAAAGGAUAUCAACAUGAAUGUCUAUGCAGCCCGAGAAAAGCUCCACGCUCAUUAUACGAUACCUGGUAUUCAGUCUUCAACAUGAAUGCGCCC
Molecule: long non-coding RNA, 335 nt
Organism: Bactrocera neohumeralis
Lineage: Eukaryota; Metazoa; Arthropoda; Insecta; Diptera; Tephritidae
Exons: 3
Source: RefSeq, a predicted model, not a curated record